GGCGAGGGGGCGCCCCGGGCAGACGCGGCCCCCUGGGGGUCGUGCCCCUCGCCCCUUCCGCCGCCAGCCCGGCCGACACCCGCCGCGGGGCGUGUGUGCGCGCGGGGAGAGACUGCAGAGGCCGGGUGACUCGUGCUGAAGGAGAAAGGCAACAAAAAAUAAAAAAGGAACAGAUGACUUCAUUCUCGGGAAGGCUCCGUCCUACGUGGACCAAUUUCCUGGGGACACAGCUCGGCUGCCGUUGGAAGCACUUAAAACUAAACCAGAUAAAGACCAGAAAAUUCUCAGCAUUGCCUGAGCCGAUCAAGGGCAGGUUGGUGGUGCGUGAGCCCUGGGUGUGCAGGGAGGAGGGUCCAUUCCUCCACCCGCGCUGGGGGCUUGGCUUCCAACACACACCUCCUCGCCUCCCCACUCAGACUCCCUCCAGUACCCCGAGAGGGUGAGCAACUGUCCCAAGGUCACACAGCCAGUUUUUUAUUCUGCUUGGACACCCGCAGGGACAAACCCGGCAGAGGCUGGGGAACGAAAGCCAGUGGCUGGCCUGGGAGCCUUGGAAGAGGGACACAAGGCUUGGGAUUUGGUCACCGCAGCCUCUCCUGGUCUCUUGGCUUUAGGUGAUCGACCAGGGCUUUUCCAGGCCCAGGAUCGCCUCUCCAGACUCCCCGGGAGUCUAAAGGGACAAGCCGGUUCCCGACUAAGGCAAGAUAAAGUUAUCUUCAGCUCCGUUCCCAGCAACCACCAGUUCUCAGCUUUGGAGCCCUUCCUGAAUGCAUGAAUCAAAAGCCUUGGGCUCCAAGAAAAGAGAGUUACCCCCCCCCCCCCACUCCCCAGUCCUUCCCCAGUCCUUUACUGCCAGCUCCAUGAUAUGGGAAGGUAGCACCGCCCUCCACUCCUCCCCCUGGGCUGGCCUUCCAAGCAAAACUCAUCUCUGGCCACAGGUUUAGAGUUUAGCUGAUGUGAGAGUCCUGCCCCUGGGCAGUGUGUGAAUAGGACUGAGAUGACAGAUGACACCCAGCAUCAUCCAGAGGUAGGAGGACCUUGGAGAUUAUGCAGACCAACCACUCCUGCGUCCCUGUUUUACAGGUGGGCAAACUGAGGCCCAGAGAGGGGAAGAGACCUGACUGAGAUCUGCCACUGGUUAGAGGUGUUCUUGCCUUCCAUUAGGGUGCCUCACUACCCCGCUCUGAUCCUUCUGUGGAAUUAUCUGUACGGAUCAGAAGUUCAGGAGCUGGGGGGCAGGAGGCUCUGAAGUCAGACUGCCUAAGUUCAAGUACUUACUUCUAAGUGAGACCUGGGACAAAUGAAUUCUUCUCUCUGAGCCCCCACGGUCUUGUGUGUUAAGUGGGGAUGAUGGUACCAGCCCUGGGUUGUCUUAAGGAAUAAAGGUGGUCCAGGAAAAGUCCUGGGACUAACACCA
Non-coding RNA from Callorhinus ursinus (northern fur seal), 1417 nucleotides. The record is from RefSeq and is a predicted model, not a curated record. Lineage: Eukaryota; Metazoa; Chordata; Mammalia; Carnivora; Otariidae.